CGGUAUGUUGGCUAUUCGCAGUGAGGCUACUUAGUUUGACUACACAUUUUUUUGAUCCCUAGCCAUUUGGGUCCUUACUGUGUAUGUUGGCUACUAUAGGUUCAGAUUCACUGUUUGGAGUAGGAUAUACUUAGAUGAAAUCUAUCGACCUUGAUAGAAAAGAAGUAGUCCAAUGUGAUUCGCAAGACUGAGUUCAGAAAGUCUCUGGCCAGAGCAAGAGUAAAUACUGAAAAAUAGUUUCCACAGGAUUCACAGAUGAACUCGAGUUGAGCCAAUAUGAUAUAUAACUGACGAUGGGGUUUGACGAGUUCUCCAUAACCUCCGUCUAAUCGAG
RNAcentral lists this long non-coding RNA (334 nucleotides) under Elaeis guineensis (African oil palm). RNAcentral's name for it is "long non-coding RNA (EGUI_LNC068050)". The record is from RNAcentral. Lineage: Eukaryota; Viridiplantae; Streptophyta; Magnoliopsida; Arecales; Arecaceae.